Molecule: long non-coding RNA, 9566 nt
Organism: Mesocricetus auratus (golden hamster)
Lineage: Eukaryota; Metazoa; Chordata; Mammalia; Rodentia; Cricetidae
Exons: 2
Source: RefSeq, a predicted model, not a curated record
CAGAAUUCUCCUCGUCCCCUAGUCCUGCCUAUCUUCCUGCCUCAAUUGGCAAAACAGUGUUUUAUUCAUCAAUCUAUAAGAGAAGCAUAUGUACAGAAUGACAUCCCCUAUCAAAGAUGAGUUUUCAAGACUCCACAGAAAAUAUUCCAAAGUACUACAGUCAUCUCCUUGACUGGCCUGCAUGCUGACUCCAAACAGGCCAGGGUGAGGCUAGGGAGUUGCUGUCGUUACCCUCUACAAGAGGAACGAUGUUCUCUGUACCUCAUUGAAGGGCUCAGUUUGGCAAUGACAUGAAAUCCAUUCACAGUCCAAGCAUAGAUCAAUGUGGAGAAGAUCUGUGGGUCAUGAAAGAAUAUUUCCUCUUUUUUUUUUUUUUAGGAAACUAUUAAGUCAUACUCUUCUUGGCCAGCAAUACUGACAAGAAUGGGUACUGUUGAGUCCAUUGGUUUAUACUGAAGUAGGGCAGACAAGGACACAUGGAAAGCAUGCAUGAGAAGAACAGUCAUGGUGCUGAGGUUGCCAGACCAGAGGUGCUGCUUGGGACUCAAGAGUAUAAAUGGUUUGACUGUCAAGGGCUCUACCACUUUGUCUUUCUAGAUGAGAGAUUCCUGACAAAAAAGUUUCUAUAGAAACAGAAAUAACAACCAAAACAUUGUGUGUCUGUCCAACAAAUUACAGACGAGAUAGAUAGAUAGAUAGACAGAGUUGUUAUUUGUCAUGUAUGUGGAUGAGUGUGUGUGAUGCUGUAUGGCUGUGUGUGUGUGUGUGUGUGUGUGUUCGUAGACUUGUGUGUUCCACCAGACUAGCCCACUUAGGCAUGUGUAGAGGUCAGAAGUUAAUACAAGGACGUCUUCAUUAUUCGAGACAAGAUCUUGCUGUUUCAGCUAGACUUCCCAGUGAGUGGGAUCCCAGGAUACACCUGUUUCUCCUUUCUCAGUGCUGGGGUUAGAGACACAUGCUACCAGGCUGGCUUUCACACAAGUGCUGAGGAUUUGAACUCAGAUCCUUAUGCUUGUGCAGCAAGCAUCUUACCAUUGAAGCCACCUCUCCAACUCUGUAACUUGAGAUAACCUUUCACAUUCAUGAAACAUAAUGUGUGCAAACUAAAUUUCAUGCGUAUGAAAGAUCAUGUGGUGGUGACUAACGAAACAUUUUUGAGGGGAAAGAAAUAGGGAUGUGCAAAGACUAGAAAGAUGCCACCAGCCACCAAAGUGUGGAUCAGGUGUCUCCAGACUCUUGACGUCUUAUUCAAGAAUGAAAUAAAAGGCCACACAGAUUGCAAAGUAGUGAGGAAACUUUAUUUUAAGCAGAGCAGUAGUAACUAGUAAAAAGGAAGACACUGUCAAGAAUGACAGAUGUCCACACGUGUGAACUACUUAAGGGCCCCUUGUCUAAAGGGAAGUGUGUGGUUUUGGUGAUUCUCCAUUUUAAUCAAUAUAGACACAUCAGGUUAUAUAAUCAUUUCUCUACUGUGCGUAAUGCAUAGUUAUACGAUGGCAAGUGGGGGAAUCUCUCUAUUUACUUAAAAACACAGUUUUUGCUUAUUGAACACGCACUCCAAACCAGUUCAGGCUGGAUUGCCCUUUCUGAUAUUUUUACCUGAACAUAAAGAACAUAUGACUGAAUAAAAUUCACUUGCCCGUAUUAUUGUUAUUAAGGGAAACAGAAUUGUAUUCCAGUAUUUGGAGCGGAGUGUACAUAUGCCCUAUGCAAUGCAGGUGAAAUCCAAUGUUGCCAACAGGUUGCUAGGUAGGUACAUUGUUUGGAGAGGUUGUGGCCAUAGCUCAAGCCAGUGGAGUCCAAAUUGCUAAAUUAAUCCCUCUGCUUGCCUGCUUUAGAAUCUUGCGUGCUUUUGAAUGAGGAAGAACGCUCAAAAAACUGCUGUAGGUUUUCUGUGUGGAGAAACUGUGAAGACAGUUCACUUCUUGGACCAAGAGAACUCAACUCAAAAAGAAAGCAGUCAGCUCCCUGUGGUUUUCCCAUCAGAGCUUCGGGACCAGCACUUCUGUGAUCUCUGCAGUCUUGAAUCACAAAUGUGGGGCCUGAGAGAGAUGCCCGAAGGCACAGAGUAAAAUGAGUAAUGAACAUUUGUCUGGAAAGAUUUUGUUUACCGUAGCCCUUCUGGAAACAAAGUUAGAUUUCUUUAGUUUUCACACUUGUUUUAAGGAUGACGGAAAGAUUUAGACAUUAAGUGUUUUGGUUAUGAAUGUAGCAUUCCUAUGCAGGAGACCUAAGCCUAACAAUCAAGGGUCUUUGAACUCCUGGACUUUGUUUUCUUUUUACUAUUACUGGGGGCUGCCAUAUGGGAUGCAAAUAAAGCUUUGGUUUAUGACCUCCUACUUAACAUGGAUGCUCUCCCCAGCGGUCUGUCAUCACAGUCUUUGAAAUUCCACCCUUAAGAAGCCUUUCCUGGAAUGCAAACCUUGUUAUGGCCAGGCUCAAUUACAGAUGUCUCAGAGAAGAGUCACACAUCUUACCGGUUAUUUGAAGAGCCGAGCACGGGAACCUGAUGCUAGCUUUACCUGAGACAAACUGUUAUUGGUGGAGAACAGAGAAUAGAGGGGUCUCAGCGCAUCCCAGUGCAGGCAAAGGGUAUAUCAUAUGGGGAUACUGGGGACAGGUGUAUCUCAAGGCCUUGGGAUAUCAGUGGGCCCCAAAUGCCCUUGUAAGCUCAUCUUGCCAAGCUGAUGAGAAAUACUUGGAUGUGCUGAGGCUCAUCCUGUGUUGGUAGCAACUUCCAAGCCACUCAAUGCUUUGGAAUUCCUGUCUCACUUAACAGGGCACUGCUGCAUGUCUGAAUAUAAUGCUACUGGCUGUUCCAUGUGUUACUUAGGCUUAUGGCAUUUAUUGGUACCUACCUCUUUGAGAAAAGGUUUCAAGUCAGUCUGUGUGGUGUAUAUUUUACAAACAGCUUGACUGGGACAAUGGUAGUACUCGUAGGGACAUCAAUAUCUUAGAUGUCACUUUUUCCUUCUAUUCCUUUAGUGUCUUGCCUUGGAUUCUGGAGUCAGAGCUAACAACAAAUCUGUUAUUUCCUCUUUAUCUGUUUCCUUGUCUCCUUUAUUGUUGUUGUUCGGGACCACAGAAGAGCAACAACUACAUGCUCAACACGGUAUGUUAUGUGUGAUGUAGGUGGAGAGGGUGAGAAGCUAAUUCAUUAUCAUCCAUGCACAUCCUGAAUUGGGCAUGAUUUCCUUCUUAGAGUCAGAAAGUAACGAUUUGGGGCUUUGAAGUCUCUUCAGUUUUACCACAUAGCAUGAAACCCAUACGUCAGACGAAAUCACUUCCCAAGUCAAAUAUCACUGCUAAUAGUCUCUUUGAUUGAGAUGGUUGGGUUAAGAAAACUCUAUUCACUACAUAUAUUUCUUCCCAGGACACACCUAGUUUUAACUUUGUCCAGUCUUGCACGAGAUAGGAAAACCAUGAUCCAGGACAGGAAAAAUGCGUGGAUUUAUUUACUGAAACAGGCAGUGGCUAGUGGUUGGCUCCGGCAUCAUUCUCACUGCUCCCUAUGGCUUAUCUUAGCGACCCAUCUUCCCUCAGUGCCUUUCUGAGGGUGCGCUGGACUGGCUGGCGAGGAGUCCCAUCAAGACAGAAAUUCUUACUUACUUACUUACCAUUGCCCUGCUGGCUGGCCUGGUGAGUGCUCAACUAAUAUGAGCUGUGUGUUCCUUCACUCACUCACUCAGCAAGUGUGUACUGACAGCCUGGUCUCUUCUGGGGACUCAUAAAAGAACAACACUAUGCAAGAUCGUUAUAAAAAACUUACUUUUUAGAAAAGGAAGAGGAUAACUACUAAGCAGUAAUAAUCAAUAAGGCAAUAGUCCAUAGGGUUGUGCGAGAUUACAUGAUAAAGGUUAUGGAUGAAGAAAAACUACUGAGCAUGGUGAAGUGUGUUGGAACUCUCUGGGGUGGUAUGGGGUGGACGGGCACUUUAAUCUAGGCUGGUUAGCACCGGCCUCACUGAGAGGGUCAGGUAUGAGCAAAGAAUUGAUGGAGGUAAUGGGGUCAGUCAAGCAGCUGGCCUGAGAUGUUCUUCGAGUCAUCAGCUACAUGUGUCAGAGAAGGCUUUCUGGGCAGCUAAGUAGCUGGGCAGAAUUGCUCAGGACUCAAAAGAAUGCUGCCUGGAUAUUUUGGGUUUCUUCUCUGCUGAGUCCCAAGGCUGCCAGGACCCUCCCGACUUUGCCUUUUCAGAGCAGUGGUUUCCCCAGAGUCCACCACAGGGUGUUGUUUGAGAUACAGACGUUUCGGGAGAGCCUCGGUCUCUUGGGCGUACUUCCUGGAAGGCAUGGGCAAUCCCAUGGUUUCUGAGUAUAGUGGUUAGGUGGCACAACGUGGGACAGACGAUUGAGGCUGAGUGACUAUGAAGGGGUUAAAAAUGUAUUUUCAGGUUGUUAAACAUUCAGCUCUGAAAUUCCACGUCUCUAGUUAAAGCUCAUUUAAGUAGCUAUUGAAGUCUAGAAAGCUAGCGUGUUCCUCCAUGUCAAGUGACUUUGAGUGGUGGCAGUCAGCCAGUGACAGAAGAGAAGAGAUGGCUUUGUGGUUCAGGUUGGGCUGGAGACAAGCCUAAGGGGAGACAGGUGCUCAGGGCUGGGUGCCCUGCCUGCCUUUUUGGAACAGCAAGCCUUUAUGCCCCAACUAGCAUGUGUCAAGAUCACCCAGAAGCCUAUGUAUUAGAUUCUCCAGGAACAGCCUACCUCCCUGUGUAGGCUCGGAGAGCUCACACUCCAGUGGCUGUGAGUAUGCUCUGCUCAGUAGAGCACGCCACUGACCCCUCCUUCCCGGGACUGCUAGAUGAAGACAACCCAGGCUUUGUCCCAUCUGAGAGCAGCCAAUGCUGGAAGACGACUUUACCAGGGUCAAAAAGUUGACCUUAUUUGUAUCGUCAGAGGCAAUUCUGCAAGGCCAGCCUUGCCAUGGGGCUUCUCUUUGGUUUGGCUGAGACCAUUGCAAUGAUGUCUCUCUCUGCCUUUCCCUGCUUCCAUCAUUCUGUCUACAGGGACUGAUCCUGGGGGCAGCACCCCAGAAAGCCUUUGUGUAAUGUCCAUCACAGUCACCAGUCCAGGUCAGAAUCUGCUAGAAAGUGCCUGUGACAUGGACAUGUUCCUUGGAGCCUAGGCCGUGAUACACUUGCAACACUGCGUAUGGUUCACCAUCUCCGUGGCAUGGUUUUGUUUCCCUGCCCUUCCCCCCCCCCCCUGCUUUGUAUCUUAGAGCUGAACGUUGUUCUCCUUGAUGUGGACUCGCCGUUGGCUCUGUUGAGUCCUCGGGGAGUGUCAGUUCCUCAUGAACAAGUAUCAGGUGCUGUGGCUGCUUCAAAGGGGCAUCCUCAUUCCUGCCACACAUUCAAGCCCCUAGAGAACCCAGAAAGCUAAACCACUUUCUUCUCAUUGUCUUGUACGUUGCCCUCCAUGGAGAGCUGGAAAGAAUGAGCCAGUGGGAACAUUAAACGAUGGAUAGAUUCGAACCGGUUGCCUUGGGUGCGGUUGGCAUUCACUGGGAUAGGGUCAAUUGGGUGGUGGAAGGGGUGCUACAUGGGGGAGGGGAGACCCUCGCUUGGAUCUUGGAGAAUGAAAACCCACUGGGACAGAACAGGGGUGGAGGCUCCAGCAAGAGAAGAUGGCUACUCGGGAGGCAAACUGCCAGCUCCCAGGGGGUGGAUGGUGUUCAUCCGUUUACCACUUCUGUGUGCUGUCAGGAAUCUAACCUGGCCAUGAGAGUCUCCCAGCAUACUGUGGGGGCCCGGACAGUUCCCCCAAGAGCGUGGUUCUGCCAGCCCUGCCAACUCAAGACCAAACGUUCCUCCUACACAGCUGUCUUCCACAUGAAAUCCUGCCUGGGAGGCGGGUGAGCCAGCAAGUGAGCGAGAAUGAAUUACCCGUGGCCCACGGCUUGGCUGGCAUUCAGGCUGCCUGCUUGCUUGAGCUUUUCCUUCGUCUCUUGGAUAAAUCAGGAACUCGGAACACUCCUCUCGGAGUCAUUCCGCCCUCCCCACCUGGCCUGCGCCUGGCAGAAUGAAUGCCUGCGAGGCCCGGAACGCAGCGUGCUCACACAUACAUCACCUAUCCGGGUUCCAUGUGGGCAGCCUGGGGAGACAGGGUGAUAAGCAGUGUCCCCGCUCACGUGACAGGAGUCCCAGCAUGGGGGUAGAUUUGUCUAGGAAUCUGGGUUUCCUGGGCCAGCAGAGGACUCUCGGCUCGCCUGUCUUUCCUGGGCCUCUCUCCCUUUGCCUCUGGCACGGAGAUGUUCCCUGGGAUCUGUCACCACUGGGCCUUCUCCCACCCUGCAGCUGUCAUGUGUAUAAUGUCAGGGCUCAGAGUGUGCACUUUGACUCCGUGCCCCCUCCACAGAUCUCCCGCAACCCGCCUGAGUUUCUAACAAUCUUUUCGCCUCUCAGAUCAGCCUCCCUCACUCUGGGCACCAAUAGUCUUGCUAUCUGCUAAGCUGUGUGUGCUUCCAAAUGCUCUGUGGACAUCACCCCCCAAGCACCCCAAAUUCAACAAGUCUAAGAGGGAACUAUUUUAGCCCAUCGCUAACUGGGGCUUCCCCACCUCUCUUCAGCUGCACCUCUGUUCAUCUUGCUUCGACUGUCUGGACCUCUGUGGCAUUCCUUGGCCCCUUGCUCUCUGUCUCUUCCUGAAACCUAUUUGUUGUUUCCCAGAAGCCUUAGUGCCCCCUGGUCAUAGCCUUUCUGCAGCUUCCUGGAACCUUUUUCUUGACUUUUAAGAACUUCCUAUUAACUGGCCUUGGGACCACCAAUCAUUCCUGCCUCCAGCUUCAUUCUACAACUGUUUCAAGGGUUAUAGUCUGAAUUAUGUCAGUUAAAACCAUUAAUUAAUUCAAUUUUAAUUAUGUGAUUUUCUUGCUCAAAUCUACAAGGUUGUCUCGGAAUUUGCUCGGCUUUUAUGAUUCAGUGUCUCUAAACUCGUAGACAAAAGUACACCUUGGCCAAAAUUGCUUAUUUGCUGUUUCCCGAGGCUUUCUUGGCCUCCCCUACAGUUUCCUUUCCUGCUGCACUCUGUGCAGUCCAAACCUUCUUUGGAGGCAUGUCUUCUAGGACCCUUUCCUUUGUUUUGAUUGCCUUUUUGAGGGAGAAAAUACUUUAAUCCUUUAAAUGACGGUUCUGCCUUGUUUUGUGUUGAAAUCAUACUGAAUCUUGGGAAGUGUCAGUGUGAGGUUUUAUAAAAACUUAAACUGAUGCUAAUGAAGCUUAGAUGUCUGGUUAUUACAUGGGGCCUAUGUGAUCCAUGCACUUGCCUUUGGCUUAAGAGAUGUUGUAAUAGAUGUGACACCUCUUGCCCUUCUUGGUGUAUGCAAGGCCCUGGGUAUCAUCCCUGGCAUGGGAGAAGAAUGCAGGUAGGGAGGCUUUGAGUGAUGGUGCAUGCCUCUUUCCCCUAGGAGGAGGAGGAGGAGGAGGGAGCCCACAUGUUCUAGGCUAGUCUGGACAAGAAAGCAAGACCCUGUCUCAAAAAUAACAGCAGCAGCAGCAGCAGCAGCAACAACAACAGCAUCAGUCCAUGAUAGCUCCUAAAGUUUCAGGGCUGGGGAUCAUGUUUCUGGACACUCAAAGAGGGGGACAUUCAGUGUCAAUGCCUGCACAUUACUUACAUGGCUUCAAUGCAGUUGCUAUUUUAUGACCCUCACAGCACCCCUGAGCAAUAGGUUGCUUGUGUAUUGUUUCUAUGAAGGAAAUUAAGGGACUUAAUUGGUCGUCUAAUGGUCCGAGGGCAGAUGGAGGCGGAGCUGGACCAACAUGUUCACAUGACAUUAUGUUGCUGUCUUUGUCUAGACUAUUGAGUUCUGGUUGGUUGUACCCUCGGGUGAGAAUGUCCCAGGUGGAAACAGAAAUGACCAUCACAGCCCCGCCCUUCCACUUAACAAUUGACACCUUAGGGACACAGAAUGACAGAGAAGCUUGUGUUUUCUGACAGCUAGCAGAAUUCAGUGGGAGGAACCAUCUCUUCCUUCACUGUGGUACCCAGGGUGCCUGGUGCUCUGGAGCGGAGCGUGGCUCUCAGUUAACGGAGGAGAGGGCUACACACUCAGAAAAGCUGAGCAGAGCAUCCAAGGUCUUACAGCAGACUGAAACUCAUGCUGUUUGAAUUACUCUACGUUGUUUGGGACAGCCGGUGUCUUUUCGUAUCUAAGUAAUGAACCUGUUUUUAUAGUGUAGCAUCAGCUCUUGUACCAUUGCGAAGGCCCCAAAGGACAUUGCUAUGUUCUUAUUUUCCUCUCCCUGAUCCCCUUUAAUGGCUUGAAAACUCAAUACCCAGUCCCUUUAAGUUCCAUUUCUUUUCAUCUUCUUUAAAAACUUGAUAUGGAUCUCAAAAGCAUCACGUGAAGUAAGAAGCCACCAUUAAAGGCUGUCAGAUCUCAUGUUCGUGAAGAGACAGAACUCUAAUGUCAAAGACAUACGUGCCUGCUGGAUGGGGUGGGCCCGAGGCCAAAGGAACAUGGAGGAAUCUUUUCAGGUAACAUUUUCCUUUCUCUCUUGAGUUAUUAUAGAUUAUUCAUACUUAUCAAAACCUUUGGAACUAUACUCUCAAAUGGGUCCAUUUUAUGGUAUGUAAAUUAUACCUAAUGCUAACUACCCAAAUGCUCAGUUCCUGUUGAGGUCUGAAUGACAGUGGGAUUGACAACUUGAUGGACAUUGAAACUGUAGGCUGUGAUGAGCUAAAGCUUGGUGAAGCCACUGUGAUCUAAUAUUGAAAAAAAAAAACACAGAGUAUUAAAGCCAUUCAAGAAUAGAUUACCUUUCCCUGGAAAGUGAUUAAACUGUCCUGGAUAUGAACCCAGGACCCUUCCGCUGCCAUCCUACCUAAACCAUGUCACCGGGCCACAACCCUCUCUUCCCUUGGGCUAGGUCGGAGGCGGAAGCUGUCCGGGAAAUGUAGCAGCUGGAAUUGAGGCAGAGGGAGAGGUGCCGAACGAGAUGGCAGAGCUCAGAGAAAUAAGCGAUUCUGGAGGAAGCUGUAUAGCCGCCACUCCCAUAAUGCUGUGCCGCCAGUGCUUCCCCAGCCAGCGGAGGGGAUGGGAGGGGCCUGGAAGAGUCUGGCAUAUAUGGAAUGUAAUAUUCCUCAUUGUCAUUCUGUCCCCUGCUUAUUCCUCCACCAGGCCAUCUUGUACGGAUUAGGACACACUUAGGUGCUCCCUUCCUUCCACUCAUUGUCCCUCCCCAGGGAAGUCUCUUUGGGGACUCUCCUUCCAAUCUUUCUCGUGCAAGCCUUAGCAUUCCUCGCUCUCCCCAACUCCCAGGCCCUUCCAGUUCAUUCCAGUCUAGGAACUGCGCUUUAGCUUGUAGCACUCCUGCACCCAGAAAUGCGAUGGUUUCUUCCUGCCCAACUCUGCGGCUACCGGGUGUUGUCUCUGACACAACUGCUUGACAAUGAAGCGGAACAUGGGCAGAACAAGAAGAUGCUGUGUAACGCACAAAUUACACGGCACUUUCUGAAGUGCUAGUCUGCUCAACGCCAGGCUUGACUGCCAGAGAACUAACGGAUGCUUUCGGUUGUCCGCACGGCGUUUUCUGAUUUGAGACACCUGAUUAAAAAUAUAUGAAUUGCAAA